This 383-nucleotide unclassified non-coding RNA is filed under the name soil metagenome. RNAcentral's name for it is "partial contains 5.8S ribosomal RNA, internal transcribed spacer 2, and large subunit ribosomal RNA". The stretch from base 1 to 120 matches the Rfam family "5.8S ribosomal RNA", at positions 35 to 154 of the family's 154-position model. The record is from RNAcentral.
GAUGAAGAACGUAGCGAAGUGCGAUAAGUAAUGUGAAUUGCAGAAUUCCGUGAAUCAUCGAAUCUUUGAACGCAAAUUGCACUCUCUGGUAUCCCGGGGAGUAUGCCUGUUUGAGGGUCAGCGUUAAUAAAAAUCGGUGCGUUGCACUUUAUUGUGACGUUCUGGAGUUUGAGUUAUCUUAACUUUUAGGUUAAGAGGCUUAAAAUUGACCUUUUUUUUGUGCAUUUUAGACGUACAUAAAUUUUCUUUUAUUUGUCUUUUAAUGCCAAAAUUAUAUUAGAUGCGACCAUAUCGUGUGGUUUCGUGUCUAUAAAUUUUUCAUGAUUUGACCUCAAAUCAGGUAGGAGUACCCGCUGAACUUAAGCAUAUCAAUAAGCGGAGGA